RNAcentral lists this long non-coding RNA (1953 nucleotides) under Fukomys damarensis (Damara mole-rat). RNAcentral describes it as "lncRNA (ENSFDAG00000025096.1)". The record is from RNAcentral. Lineage: Eukaryota; Metazoa; Chordata; Mammalia; Rodentia; Bathyergidae.
CAGGAAGCGAGAGGUUCCCACAGGCGGUAGUGUUAGGGAAUUGAUCAUGUUAAAUUAUGCUGUGAUGCCGCCUCACAGGCUGCAUUCUCCUGGUACAUCUUGGCUCCUAAAAUGACCUCAUGCCCUUAUCUCUGGUUUCCCUCCCCCCCAAGGCCACAGUGGUCCAGGAAAGCUAAAACCUGUGUCUGCAGGACUGGGCCCAUAAAAGCAAUCUGGCCUGUAAUAGGUUGAAAGUAACUCACUCCUCAUAAAUAAGCAAUAGCCCACCCCAAAAUUGAUAAAAGGACCUUCCUUUCUUUGUUCUUUUCUCUCCUUCUGCUUCUUCUUCCUCCUCUCUCUCUCUCUCUCUCUCUCUCUCUGCCUUCCUACCUCCUGCUCGCCUCCCUACAAUAAAGAUCUCCUGCCAGACCUCUCGGUGCAUGAGUGGCCUAAUUGGAAAGGGGCGCCUGAAAGGGCAUGCGAACCCCCUUUCAGGUAGGGUCACCAGGACCCAUCUUGAAGGAUCUUCGGAGAGGCCUUUGGCGCAUAUAGUUGAGGGUCACCUGUGCUAUAGCACCAUGGGCAGCCUGUUCCGAUGCGGCUUCUUUGGCCAGAUGCUCUUCUCCAGCCAGCUAACGUGCUACGCCCACGACCUCUACACCACCACCUGCCUCAACUUCCUGCACUUCCUGCUCAGUUCACUGUUUACGGUGUGCAGGAGCUGGUUGGUGUCUGCAGUCUCGCUGGCCACCCUGACCCUCCAUACCUUAAGGAUCCACUGGUCCCAGUCCUGCUAGGAGCUCUGUAGGUCCCCAAACUUAAGUCUCCAACUUCCAGACCCAGAGGGGUCAAAACCUAUCAGAUGUUUUCUAUUGGGGGGGGCGGCAGUAGGAUUUAUGGUCAAAGGGAGAUGUUCUUUGUCCCCUAAAUUAACUUAGCAUCUGCUGUAAAUUAAGACCCCACUGUCUCAUUAUUUCCCUGGUAGAAGUGAUGCCAGUUGCAAGGAGGAAGGCAGAGCCUGCUCUCAGGAGGUAUGCAGUGACUUCCUGGAAACAGGCAGCAUAUAACGAAGGCAUAGCUGGUUUUUCUCUGGGAGAUCCAAGGAUGCUCCUGGGCUAAGAUUGGGGAAGUAGAGGCAGCCAUGACAGCAUUGGGCAAACAUUAGUAGGAGCAUCUCGGCUCCAUCUUACAGGAGGUAGGGUCUGUGGACUUCGAAGUGGAGUCUUCAGGGUUCCCUGCUCCUGCCUUCCCUGCCAUCCUCAGCUGCCUUCCAGAUGUUCAAGAGGGGACCAUUUAUUGAGCAUUUGCUGUGUUUUGUUUUGGGUGGGAAUGCUUUUAAUUCAUUCAACUUAAUGCUCCAAUUAACCUAACAAGGAAGGUUUUAUCAACCUCAUUUUAUCAUUGGAGGAAUGGAAAUGCAGAGAAUCUAAGUCACUUGUCACAAAGCUCAAAGACAAUGGAGGUGGGAUUCGAACCCAAGGGCUGUCUAGCUCCAGGGGUCUGUUAUGUCUCCCAGAGCACUGCCUCUUAGAUGGACUGGGCUGGAGAGCUCCAGCUGGCAAUGCUGGGGGCCCAGACACAACCAGAUAUGCUUUUAGACAUCAACACUAAGUAGACACCAUGGAGGGGAAAAGGUGCCAUUUAAAGAAAUCUGGCCCUUCACUGUGCUAGCCUGCAGUUUCUGAGAUGGAGUUCAACUGAGAACCUUCCAGCACCUGCUUCCUCUCCUCAGCUCCCUCUGCAACAUCCUUGGGCGAGAACCACCAGUGGUGGGCUGGGGAAUCUGUGCAUCACUGAGGAAUCCUGGGAGGCCUCCCAUUAAUUGGAGCUACUCCAUCUGCGCUCACAUGUGUCCCUGCAGUUGCCAUGUGAGUUGGCUGUGGAGCAAGAGCACGCCAGUCUGGGUCUUGCCUCCUGUUUCCUGUCCUGUAGCCAGAGGGUAAGUAGCCCAGGAGCUCAGAGUCUUGGGGCUGC